Non-coding RNA from Gossypium arboreum, 144 nucleotides. The record is from Rfam. Lineage: Eukaryota; Viridiplantae; Streptophyta; Magnoliopsida; Malvales; Malvaceae.
UAAUAAAAAUUCCAUCCAUUCCAACUGUUAAAAGCCAGCAUGGGUGAUGAAAUAACCAAACAAUUACACGUGGUGUGUCACAAGUACCUAAUGCUAACAUACAGGACCAGUUUUUAACAAUAAAAAAGAAUAGAAUUAUUAACA